RNAcentral lists this ribosomal RNA (253 nucleotides) under uncultured bacterium. Its description in RNAcentral is "partial 16S ribosomal RNA". It matches the Rfam family "Bacterial small subunit ribosomal RNA", at positions 524 to 776 of the family's 1533-position model. The record is from RNAcentral.
UACGUAGGGUGCAAGCGUUAAUCGGAAUUACUGGGCGUAAAGCGUGCACAGGCGGCCAUGCAGGACAGAUGUGAAAUCCCCGGGCUCAACCUGGGAACUGCAUUUGUGACUGCAUGGCUGGAGUGCGGCAGAGGGGGAUGGAAUUCCGCGUGUAGCAGUGAAAUGCGUAGAUAUGCGGAGGAACACCGAGGGCGAAGGCAAUCCCCUGGGCCUACACUGACGCUCAUGCACGAAAGCGUGGGGAGCAAACAGG